AUACAGAAUAAAGUAUUGCUCGGAUAUGAAACAUGUUAUUAACAUUCAUUGAUUCUAAAGUUCAGACAGGUGUAGAAUACACAUAGGAAUAAUUAGACCUGAUAAUGAAAAACAGUUGCUCAACCGAAAAAUACUUCUGUAUUUGUGACGUUUAUAACUACUUUUUAAUUUUAAAAAUCAAAUAUCAUUAAUAUCAAUCCAAGGUUUUCUGAGUGGUGUGCCCAUCCAAAAGUUGCGCGCAUUUUUCACCUUCUCCGUGGUUGCUGCAUGACCUGAGACGUAUAUUUUAGUGCUGGAAUUAUUAAUGCCCGUAAUAAAAUUAAGGGAGAGGAAAUGAGGCCGCGGUGGUCACAUCGGGGACCACCAACUAGCUAGAUGAAGAACAUACAUAAAAUAUAUAUAAUGCAUGCAAUUUAAUACAGUGUGCCACUAUCAGCAAUUUUCAUAGUCGCAUGACAUUUUACAUGGACGUAUUUUUGAAAACUUUAUUUACGAAAUUUCUCCAGGAAAUUAACUAUUUGUAUUUGUAGUGACUACUUGUUUAAAAUGAAUCUGACGAAAGUACAGUUUGGGUGAACGGUUAGGGACAAAUAGCAGGCUGUUGUGACCAUGGAAAUGAACAUUUAGAUUUCAUAUGGGGCAGUAGGGGUAAUUUUCCUCACUAGUUGUGUGUAGUGUUUUAUCCUCAAGACUGGCAAGUGCCACACCACCCUGAAGAAACCUGCCUUGGUCACCUUCCUGCCCUACAUGACAAUAACUUUCAACCACAUCAGCAGGCUGCUGUCCAGACACAUCAAAGUCGGUGACCCUGCGAACCCCCCUCCCCUGCAAGAAGAUAACAUAUUUCCUUAAGCCUGUAAAGGGAGAUCUGGGACUCCUGAAGUGUACAGCAUGCCCUACAAGUGCAGUCGAGUCUACGUCAGUCAGAUGGCCGUUCCCAGGGUCAAGGAGUACCAGUGACACAUCCAUAUGGAGCAUCCAGACAAAUCUGCAGUGUCUGAACACAGCAUCAACCUUGGCCACUGCGUUCAACUCCAGGACACCACCAUCCUCUCUAUCAAGUCCAAACAUAUGGACCGGAUGAGCAGGGAGGCCGUUGAGAGCAAGCUAGAACCUAACAAUAUGAACAGGGAAGAUUGACUUCACCUGAGCUAGUUAUGGAAGAUCUACAUCCACUGUCUGAAACGACAUAGAAAGCAUUAAACAUAGCGUUGCCAGCCCUGACCUGCCUGAUAGGCCACCACACUGUCCUUUUCAGGACAUCACUUAGCUCAGGCCAGUUCCUUAUUUCCUUUCUCACCAUAUUUAGUUAAUUUUCUCCUCCAUAUAUUUCCUUUCUGUAUCCCACUCCUUCCAUCCACCCUCAUUUCCAUGUGUCCCUUAUCUACCCAACAGAGCCUGAGUGGCCCUUAUAAGGGCUACUUCCUUCAAUCUCUUUCUUGCAUGUCCUUCCCCUCCUGUUGGCCAGGCUAUGGCACUCCCCAUCUCCUAUUGGCUCUCUUGCCCUUGGUCAAUGCUCACCUUAUUCUCCAAAAGUGCAGGCAAGAAUCUGCCUUGACUGAUUGGUUCCAAUAUCUCAAACUGAUUCCUCGUGCACAACUUACUCAUCGCCCUGAUGAUGUAGGCAGCAAGGACCUCUAAAUCAUCGGUAAACUUCUACCAGACUACACGGUGCAACAAUCCAGAAGACAGCAAUCUUCAUAUUCACUGCCACGAGAUCCUCAUAUCCUACUUAUUAUUUUGAUCCUACAUGCUACUUUUUCCUCAGUUUAUUGAACAAAAAAUAAGUCAAUAAAGUCACAAAAAUAAAAAAUAGGUAAUAAAGUUUUGUAGCAGUUAUCUUUGUCUUCAAAUGAUUUUUUUAAACUCUUUUAUGUAUGAAGUCAACAAAGAGUAGUAGAUUUUGAUCACCUAUGGAUGCAGACCAAUGGACUGACUGGCAAACAAGAUGCAUACAGAAAUGAAAAGAGAUCUAGGUGAACAAGGACCUUCAGAACCAAAGCAAAAUACAGUCUGCCACCUAAAUGAUUCAUUAAGGUCCUCUGCAUAGUAUAUGUAUGAUAUUUUCCCACAGAACCUGCUGAUUUUGUCUGCAAGAUAUUAUAGUCUACUUAGUUUGGUACCCUUGGAGUGAGAUCUGAAGAAUGAAAAUAUCAAGUCUUGAAGGAAUAUUGUAGUGACUAGGAAAGUUUGUAAUUUUAUUACUGGUGACUCAUCAAAAUGCAUAGUCUGGAAGGUGUCACUUUCACUUUGAAGCCAACCUCUGCUAUGGUUGGAUUCUUCAGUAAAAGGAGCAGGAGCUUCAAUCAGCCGAACUGCUUCUUCAUCAGAGAUUCCUGGCUCUAACUGGAACUCGACCAAUGGCAGGACCUCUACAAGAACCACAAAGAUGUAAAAGUUAUGUAACUUCACUGCACUAUGUCUUCCUUGAGAUUUUAAAUUUGAAUUAAUUUCAACCAUCUAAACCUACAUGUUUUGAGACAAAUAUUAAAAUAAUAAAAUUCAUUUUUCAACUUUUAAAGCUAUUAAAGGUUCAGAGAAAUGUAUUUUUAUCCCUAGAAUUCUAGUUAUAUUUCCACCUAACUGGCACACUAGACUAAAAUCCAGAUAAUAUCUGUAGUAAACUGAAAGUUCUGGUCUUUAAACAUUUUGCAAACUUAUUAAUUAUUACAUACAUGCAGUGUUGGUAAAAUAGUGUUAUGUACUCAAUACACAACUAUUUCUGGUUAUUGUUAUGUU
Non-coding RNA from Zootermopsis nevadensis, 2739 nucleotides. NCBI's taxonomy places the organism in Eukaryota, Metazoa, Arthropoda, Insecta, Blattodea, Termopsidae. The record is from RefSeq and is a predicted model, not a curated record.